This 1548-nucleotide ribosomal RNA is filed under the name Triticum aestivum (bread wheat). Its description in RNAcentral is "partial small subunit ribosomal RNA". The record is from RNAcentral. Lineage: Eukaryota; Viridiplantae; Streptophyta; Magnoliopsida; Poales; Poaceae.
AUGCCACCGCCUCAACUUGAAAAUCUUUCAAUUGAGGGUUACAAAUCUACAAAAUAUCCAGGCUGGUUACUUGAUGGUUCCUAUUUUGAGGAUUUGAGAUCUUUAAGCUUUGUUGCUUGCAGCGCGUUGCAAAGCCUACCAUCCAAUACUGAGGUUUUUCGGAAUUGCUCUUCACUUCACGUCAGCAAUAUGCCACACCUGAAGACAUUACCUUGUCUUCCACUAGGCCUUAAAAGAUUAAUAAUAUCCAACUGCCCACUGCUUAUAUUUAUUUCGAACAAUGAGCCGGAACAUCAAGAGCAGAGGGAGAAUAUCUCAAGGACAGACCACUUGGCAUCACAGCUUGGUUUAAUCUGGGAGGUGGAUUCAGGAUCAGGUAUAAGGAUAAUACUCUCAUCGGAACAUUCAUUUCUGAAGCAGAUGAUGAUAUUGAUGCUUGCUGAUAUGUCACAUGUUCAAAACCUUGAAUGUGCUCUAGAAAGAGAGAAAGAUGAAGCAUUUGUAAAAGAGGAUAUCAUCAAGGCAUGGAUACACUGUCACGAGCAGAGGAUGAGGUUCAUGUAUGGAAGGAGCAUUGGGCUACCGCUGGUUCCACCAUCAGGACUUCAUAGACUUUCUCUUUCUUCAUGCAGUAUUACCGAUGGAGCUUCAGCUGUUUGCCUUGAUGGUCUGGCUUCACUGAAACAUUUGUCCUUAGUAGAGAUUAUGACUAUAACUACACUUCCUUCAGAAGAGGUCCUCCAACAUUUGACAAAACUUGAUUUCUUGUUCAUCAAAUAUUGCCGGUGUCUCAGGUCAUUAGGGGGUUUACGAGCUGUUACCUCUCUUUCAGAAGUUAGAUUGAAUUCUUGCCCUUCUUUAGAGUUGGAACGUGGAGCCGAAUGUUUGCCAUUAACCCUUGAGAAGCUCAGUAUACAUGAUUGUGUGCUUGCAGCUGACUUCUUCUGUGCUGACUGGCCACACAUGAAUAAUAUCUUGAUAAGCAGUUGUAGAAGCACGGCAUGCUUAUCUGUUGGUAGUCUCACCUCUGUUAAAUCAUUCAUACUCUAUCACUUGCCAGAUUUAUGUACGCUGGAAGGAUUGUCUUCCCUACAACUUCACCAUGUACAUUUGAUUGAUGUUCCGAAACUCACCCCUGAGUGUAUCUCCCUGUUUCAUGUCCAGAAGUCACUCUAUGUUAGCAGUCGUGUAAUACUCAACAACAUGCUCUUGACUGAAGGUAUCACAGUUCCAGCAUUUCUCUCUCUUGAAGGAUGCAAGGAACCAUUUGUUUCAUUCGAAGAAUCCGCAAAUUUCACAUCAGUCACGACUCUGAGAUUCUGCAAUUGUCAAAUGAGUUCCCUGCCAACAAAUAUGAAGUGCUUCUCCAGUCUGAGGAAGCUCGACAUCUUUAGAUGUCCCAACAUAUCAUCUUUACCAGAUCUGCCAUCCUCCCUCCAGCACAUAUGUGUAUGGCGUUGUGAGCUGUUGAAGGAGAGCUGCCGGGCACCUGAUGGAGAAAGUUGGCCAAAGAUCGCGCACAUCCACUGGAAGGAAUUUAGAGUGUGA